UUAAGCGACUAAGCGUACACGGUGGAUGCCCUGGCAGUCAGAGGCGAUGAAGGACGUGCUAAUCUGCGAUAAGCGUCGGUAAGGUGAUAUGAACCGUUAUAACCGGCGAUUUCCGAAUGGGGAAACCCAGUGUGUUUCGACACACUAUCAUUAACUGAAUCCAUAGGUUAAUGAGGCGAACCGGGGGAACUGAAACAUCUAAGUACCCCGAGGAAAAGAAAUCAACCGAGAUUCCCCCAGUAGCGGCGAGCGAACGGGGAGCAGCCCAGAGCCUGAAUCAGUGUGUGUGUUAGUGGAAGCGUCUGGAAAGGCGCGCGAUACAGGGUGACAGCCCCGUACACAAAAAUGCACAUGCUGUGAGCUCGAUGAGUAGGGCGGGACACGUGGUAUCCUGUCUGAAUAUGGGGGGACCAUCCUCCAAGGCUAAAUACUCCUGACUGACCGAUAGUGAACCAGUACCGUGAGGGAAAGGCGAAAAGAACCCCGGCGAGGGGAGUGAAAAAGAACCUGAAACCGUGUACGUACAAGCAGUGGGAGCACGCUUAGGCGUGUGACUGCGUACCUUUUGUAUAAUGGGUCAGCGACUUAUAUUCUGUAGCAAGGUUAACCGAAUAGGGGAGCCGAAGGGAAACCGAGUCUUAACUGGGCGUUAAGUUGCAGGGUAUAGACCCGAAACCCGGUGAUCUAGCCAUGGGCAGGUUGAAGGUUGGGUAACACUAACUGGAGGACCGAACCGACUAAUGUUGAAAAAUUAGCGGAUGACUUGUGGCUGGGGGUGAAAGGCCAAUCAAACCGGGAGAUAGCUGGUUCUCCCCGAAAGCUAUUUAGGUAGCGCCUCGUGAAUUCAUCUCCGGGGGUAGAGCACUGUUUCGGCAAGGGGGUCAUCCCGACUUACCAACCCGAUGCAAACUGCGAAUACCGGAGAAUGUUAUCACGGGAGACACACGGCGGGUGCUAACGUCCGUCGUGAAGAGGGAAACAACCCAGACCGCCAGCUAAGGUCCCAAAGUCAUGGUUAAGUGGGAAACGAUGUGGGAAGGCCCAGACAGCCAGGAUGUUGGCUUAGAAGCAGCCAUCAUUUAAAGAAAGCGUAAUAGCUCACUGGUCGAGUCGGCCUGCGCGGAAGAUGUAACGGGGCUAAACCAUGCACCGAAGCUGCGGCAGCGACGCUUAUGCGUUGUUGGGUAGGGGAGCGUUCUGUAAGCCUGUGAAGGUGUACUGUGAGGUAUGCUGGAGGUAUCAGAAGUGCGAAUGCUGACAUAAGUAACGAUAAAGCGGGUGAAAAGCCCGCUCGCCGGAAGACCAAGGGUUCCUGUCCAACGUUAAUCGGGGCAGGGUGAGUCGACCCCUAAGGCGAGGCCGAAAGGCGUAGUCGAUGGGAAACAGGUUAAUAUUCCUGUACUUGGUGUUACUGCGAAGGGGGGACGGAGAAGGCUAUGUUGGCCGGGCGACGGUUGUCCCGGUUUAAGCGUGUAGGCUGGUUUUCCAGGCAAAUCCGGAAAAUCAAGGCUGAGGCGUGAUGACGAGGUACUACGGUGCUGAAGCAACAAAUGCCCUGCUUCCAGGAAAAGCCUCUAAGCAUCAGGUAACAUCAAAUCGUACCCCAAACCGACACAGGUGGUCAGGUAGAGAAUACCAAGGCGCUUGAGAGAACUCGGGUGAAGGAACUAGGCAAAAUGGUGCCGUAACUUCGGGAGAAGGCACGCUGAUACGUAGGUGAAGUCCCUCGCGGAUGGAGCUGAAAUCAGUCGAAGAUACCAGCUGGCUGCAACUGUUUAUUAAAAACACAGCACUGUGCAAACACGAAAGUGGACGUAUACGGUGUGACGCCUGCCCGGUGCCGGAAGGUUAAUUGAUGGGGUUAGCGGUAACGCGAAGCUCUUGAUCGAAGCCCCGGUAAACGGCGGCCGUAACUAUAACGGUCCUAAGGUAGCGAAAUUCCUUGUCGGGUAAGUUCCGACCUGCACGAAUGGCGUAAUGAUGGCCAGGCUGUCUCCACCCGAGACUCAGUGAAAUUGAACUCGCUGUGAAGAUGCAGUGUACCCGCGGCAAGACGGAAAGACCCCGUGAACCUUUACUAUAGCUUGACACUGAACAUUGAGCCUUGAUGUGUAGGAUAGGUGGGAGGCUUUGAAGUGUGGACGCCAGUCUGCAUGGAGCCGACCUUGAAAUACCACCCUUUAAUGUUUGAUGUUCUAACGUUGACCCGUAAUCCGGGUUGCGGACAGUGUCUGGUGGGUAGUUUGACUGGGGCGGUCUCCUCCUAAAGAGUAACGGAGGAGCACGAAGGUUGGCUAAUCCUGGUCGGACAUCAGGAGGUUAGUGCAAUGGCAUAAGCCAGCUUGACUGCGAGCGUGACGGCGCGAGCAGGUGCGAAAGCAGGUCAUAGUGAUCCGGUGGUUCUGAAUGGAAGGGCCAUCGCUCAACGGAUAAAAGGUACUCCGGGGAUAACAGGCUGAUACCGCCCAAGAGUUCAUAUCGACGGCGGUGUUUGGCACCUCGAUGUCGGCUCAUCACAUCCUGGGGCUGAAGUAGGUCCCAAGGGUAUGGCUGUUCGCCAUUUAAAGUGGUACGCGAGCUGGGUUUAGAACGUCGUGAGACAGUUCGGUCCCUAUCUGCCGUGGGCGCUGGAGAAUUGAGGGGGGCUGCUCCUAGUACGAGAGGACCGGAGUGGACGCAUCACUGGUGUUCGGGUUGUCAUGCCAAUGGCACUGCCCGGUAGCUAAAUGCGGAAGAGAUAAGUGCUGAAAGCAUCUAAGCACGAAACUUGCCCCGAGAUGAGUUCUCCCUGAC
Molecule: ribosomal RNA, 2793 nt
Filed under: Escherichia coli 3-105-05_S1_C2
Lineage: Bacteria; Pseudomonadati; Pseudomonadota; Gammaproteobacteria; Enterobacterales; Enterobacteriaceae
Description: bacterial LSU rRNA
Rfam family: Bacterial large subunit ribosomal RNA
Source: RNAcentral